UACAUGCAGUCGUAACAGGUAANNANAUUGAAAGGUGCUUGCAUCUUGAUUUAAUUUUGAACGAGUGGCGGACGGGUGAGUAACACGUGGGUAACCUGCCCUUAAGUGGGGGAUAACAUUUGGAAACAGAUGCUAAUACCGCAUAAAUCCAAGAACCGCAGGGUUCUUGGCUGAAAGAUGGCGUAAGCUAUCGCUUUUGGAUGGACCCGCGGCGUAUUAGCUAGUUGGUGAGGUAACGGCUCACCAAGGCAAUGAUACGUAGCCGAACUGAGAGGUUGAUCGGCCACAUUGGGACUGAGACACGGCCCAAACUCCUACGGGAGGCAGCAGUAGGGAAUCUUCCACAAUGGACGCAAGUCUGAUGGAGCAACGCCGCGUGAGUGAAGAAGGCUUUCGGGUCGUAAAACUCUGUUGUUGGAGAAGAAUGGUCGGCAGAGUAACUGUUGUCGGCGUGACGGUAUCCAACCAGAAAGCCACGGCUAACUACGUGCCAGCAGCCGCGGUAAUACGUAGGUGGCAAGCGUUAUCCGGAUUUAUUGGGCGUAAAGCGAGCGCAGGCGGUUUUUUAAGUCUGAUGUGAAAGCCCUCGGCUUAACCGAGGAAGUGCAUCGGAAACUGGAAAACUUGAGUGCAGAAGAGGACAGUGGAACUCCAUGUGUAGCGGUGAAAUGCGUAGAUAUAUGGAAGAACACCAGUGGCGAAGGCGGCUGUCUGGUCUGUAACUGACGCUGAGGCUCGAAAGCAUGGGUAGCGAACAGGAUUAGAUACCCUGGUAGUCCAUGCCGUAAACGAUGAAUGCUAGGUGUUGGAGGGUUUCCGCCCUUCAGUGCCGCAGCUAACGCAUUAAGCAUUCCGCCUGGGGAGUACGACCGCAAGGUUGAAACUCAAAGGAAUUGACGGGGGCCCGCACAAGCGGUGGAGCAUGUGGUUUAAUUCGAAGCAACGCGAAGAACCUUACCAGGUCUUGACAUCUUUUGAUCACCUGAGAGAUCAGGUUUCCCCUUCGGGGGCAAAAUGACAGGUGGUGCAUGGUUGUCGUCACCUCCUGUCUUGAGAUGUUGGGUUAAGUCCCCCAACGAGCGCCACCCUUAUGACUAGUUGCCGCCUUUAGUUGGGCCCNCUAUUANNACUGCCGGUGACAAACCGGAGGAAGGGGGGGAUGACUCAAAUCACNUGCCCCUUAUNGACCGGGGCUCACNANCGNNNCACAAGGNGGGAAANNAGUUUNAAACCCGAGGGAAAAC
RNAcentral lists this ribosomal RNA (1244 nucleotides) under Lacticaseibacillus rhamnosus. RNAcentral's name for it is "bacterial SSU rRNA". It matches the Rfam family "Bacterial small subunit ribosomal RNA", at positions 52 to 1268 of the family's 1533-position model. The record is from RNAcentral. Lineage: Bacteria; Bacillati; Bacillota; Bacilli; Lactobacillales; Lactobacillaceae.